AACGUGUAAAGAAUAGAAAUAUUCUUUCCUCAAGUUUUUUAGUUACGUUGUUCUGUUGUGUGUGUGAACAUAACCACAACGACAACGGUAACUCUUGAACAACUCACAACGGUGGAUGUCUUGGCUUCCCAAUCGAUGAAGGACGCGGCAGCAUGCGAUAACUCGU
This 166-nucleotide ribosomal RNA is filed under the name Ichthyobodo necator. Its description in RNAcentral is "5.8S ribosomal RNA". The stretch from base 101 to 166 matches the Rfam family "5.8S ribosomal RNA", at positions 1 to 66 of the family's 154-position model. Lineage: Eukaryota; Euglenozoa; Kinetoplastea; Prokinetoplastida; Ichthyobodonidae. The record is from RNAcentral.